AACUAAUGAACUUGGAUAAGUAUAUAUUUUGAAAAUAUAAUAGAGAAGUUUAAUCUUCUAUUAGUUU
Molecule: transfer RNA, 67 nt
Filed under: Cryptocephalus cynarae
Lineage: Eukaryota; Metazoa; Arthropoda; Insecta; Coleoptera; Chrysomelidae
Description: tRNA-Ser
Source: RNAcentral